Molecule: ribosomal RNA, 492 nt
Filed under: uncultured bacterium
Lineage: Bacteria
Description: partial 16S ribosomal RNA
Rfam family: Bacterial small subunit ribosomal RNA
Source: RNAcentral
AGUGAACGCUGGCGGUAGGCCUAACACAUGCAAGUCGAACGGCAGCACAGUAAGAGCUUGCCCUUACGGGUGGCGAGUGGCGGACGGGUGAGGAAUACAUCGGAAUCUACUUUUUCGUGGGGGAUAACGUAGGGAAACUUACGAUAAUACCGCAUACGACCUACGGGUGAAAGCAGGGGAUCUUCGGAACUUGCGCGAUUGAAUGAGCCGAUGUCGGAUUAGCUAGUUGGCGGGGUAAAGGCCCACCAAGGCGACGAUCCGUAGCUGGUCUGAGAGGAUGAUCAGCCACACUGGAACUGAGACACGGUCCAGACUCCUACGGGAGGCAGCAGUGGGGAAUAUUGGACAAUGGGCGCAAGCCUGAUCCAGCCAUACCGCGUGGGUGAAGAAGGCCUUCGGGUUGUAAAGCCCUUUUGUUGGGAAAGAAAAGCAGCAGGUUAAUACCCCGCUGUUCUGACGGUACCCAAAGAAUAAGCACCGGCUAACUUCGUG